UGGGGAAUAUUGCACAAUGGGGGAAACCCUGAUGCAGCGACGCCGCGUGAAGGAAGAAGUAUCUCGGUAUGUAAACUUCUAUCAGCAGGGAAGAAAAUGACGGUACCUGACUAAGAAGCCCCGGCUAACUACGUGCCAGCAGCCGCGGUAAUACGUAGGGGGCAAGCGUUAUCCGGAUUUACUGGGUGUAAAGGGAGCGUAGACGGCGGAGCAAGUCUGAAGUGAAAGCCCGGGGCUCAACCCCGGGACUGCUUUGGAAACUGUUAAGCUAGAGUGCAGGAGAGGUAAGCGGAAUUCCUAGUGUAGCGGUGAAAUGCGUAGAUAUUAGGAGGAACACCAGUGGCGAAGGCGGCUUACUGGACUGUAACUGACGUUGAGGCUCGAAAGCGUGGGGAGCAAACAGGAUUAGAUACC
Molecule: ribosomal RNA, 414 nt
Filed under: uncultured bacterium
Lineage: Bacteria
Description: bacterial SSU rRNA
Rfam family: Bacterial small subunit ribosomal RNA
Source: RNAcentral